AUUGAACGCUGGCGGCAGGCCUAACACAUGCAAGUCGAACGGUAACAGAAAGAAGCUUGCUUCUUUGCUGACGAGUGGCGGACGGGUGAGUAAUGUCUGGGAAACUGCCCGAUGGAGGGGGAUAACUACUGGAAACGGUAGCUAAUACCGCAUAAUGUCGCAAGACCAAAGAGGGGGACCUUCGGGCCUCUUGCCAUCGGAUGUGCCCAGAUGGGAUUAGCUAGUAGGCGGGGUAACGGCCCACCUAGGCGACGAUCUCUAGCUGGUCUGAGAGGAUGACCAGCCACACUGGAACUGAGACACGGUCCAGACUCCUACGGGAGGCUG
RNAcentral lists this ribosomal RNA (327 nucleotides) under uncultured Pseudomonadota bacterium. RNAcentral describes it as "bacterial SSU rRNA". It matches the Rfam family "Bacterial small subunit ribosomal RNA", at positions 30 to 351 of the family's 1533-position model. The record is from RNAcentral. Lineage: Bacteria; Pseudomonadati; Pseudomonadota.